RNAcentral lists this small RNA (126 nucleotides) under Marmota monax (woodchuck). Lineage: Eukaryota; Metazoa; Chordata; Mammalia; Rodentia; Sciuridae. The record is from RNAcentral.
GCUAGGUGUGGUGGUGGAUGCUUGUAAUCCCAGAGGCUUGGGAGGCUGAGGCAGGAGGAUUGCGAGUUCAAAGCCAGCUCAGCAACCUAGUGAGGCCCUAAGCAACUCAGUGAGACCCUGUCUCUA